Molecule: ribosomal RNA, 450 nt
Filed under: uncultured bacterium
Lineage: Bacteria
Description: partial 16S ribosomal RNA
Rfam family: Bacterial small subunit ribosomal RNA
Source: RNAcentral
GUGGGGAAUUUUGGACAAUGGGCGCAAGCCUGAUCCAGCAAUGCCGCGUGCAGGAAGAAGGCCUUCGGGUUGUAAACUGCUUUUGUACGGAACGAAACGGUCCUGGUUAAUACCUGGGGCUAAUGACGGUACUGUAAGAAUAAGCACCGGCUAACUACGUGCCAGCAGCCGCGGUAAUACGUAGGGUGCGAGCGUUAAUCGGAAUUACUGGGCGUAAAGCGUGCGCAGGCGGUGCUGUAAGACAGGCGUGAAAUCCCCGGGCUCAACCUGGGAAUUGCGCUUGUGACUGCAGUGCUGGAGUACGGCAGAGGGGGAUGGAAUUCCGCGUGUAGCAGUGAAAUGCGUAGAUAUGCGGAGGAACACCGAUGGCGAAGGCAGUCCCCUGGGCCUGUACUGACGCUCAUGCACGAAAGCGUGGGGAGCAAACAGGAUUAGAAACCCGAGUAGUCC